CACCGACGUAGCAGAAGCGUGUUAGGAAGCUAGGGCAAGAUGUAGAAAUCACAGUGCGGUGCACCGACUGAGUGCUAAGCAGUAAGACUGGAGGGAACGGAACAGGAGCUCGCACACUUCCUCUUGGAGGAGGAGCGUGUGGGCUUGGGUAGGUUUUGUUUUUGCGGCAGAGGCAAGGAGCUCCAAGGGCCGCCGCACAGCUUCGGGCUUUUCCUUCUCUCGCUCUCUCUCUCUCGAGCUCGCCUAAACUAUCAGCGCCCAGCCUAGGCGGGGUGGAAGAGGAGGGAGGGGGGAAUGGAAGCCUGCCUUGCACACACCGGAAAGUUCGCCGCCCGAUGCUGCCCUCUAGAGACUGCGGGCCGACUUGCACUUCACUUGGUGUUGGCCGGGCUUCGAUGCGAGCGCAACCCGAGGCGAUACGCCGCAGUAGGUGCUCAAAUCGAGGAACGCCCGGAGGCCUAGCGGGCCACCCACUUGAGUCUUCCACGGCCUCAGCUGGUCCACGACUGUGUGGCCCAUUAGAUCUAUGGUGUGGCCACAGUUGGAGUACAGUGUACAGGUCUAGUCACCAUAUCUCAAGGAAGACAUUAUGGAACUGGAAAAGGUGCAGAAGGGGACAACCAGAAUGAUCAGGGGCCUGGACCACCACCUUUCUGAGGCAAGGCUACAACAUCUGGGGCUUUUUUGGUUUAGAAAAAAGAUCUAAUAAUCUCUGCAAGUUGGGGACAGUGCGCAGAAGACUGGUGGCAGACUUUGAGCCAAGUGUCUGUCCUGUGAGUGACACAAGUCAGCAAACGAAUGGAAGAGGUGGGUAAGUUCUCAGAACAUUAGCCUUGCAGUGCAUAAGAUUGGCCUCUGCAACAGGCAGGCUCUGUUUUAAAAUUAACUGAAUACCCAAACAAACAACAUUGGACUCUGGUGAUGAAGAUACGCUUUGCACAAGGUUGGCUGUUAAGACGAAGCUUGUGCUACAAAAUGCAUAAGAUCGCACACUAACUUAAGAUUAGCCAUACAGGAGGUUGGUUAUGAAUGUAGACUGUAAAAGCAUGUAUCCUAUUAAAUAUUGAUAUUUCAUUGACCCCAAUAUUGAUAUUGUUG
Molecule: long non-coding RNA, 1098 nt
Organism: Hemicordylus capensis (graceful crag lizard)
Lineage: Eukaryota; Metazoa; Chordata; Lepidosauria; Squamata; Cordylidae
Exons: 3
Source: RefSeq, a predicted model, not a curated record